Camelus ferus (Wild Bactrian camel) is the source of this 176-nucleotide long non-coding RNA. It matches the Rfam family "Taurine upregulated gene 1 conserved region 4". From Rfam's summary of the family: TUG1 (taurine upregulated gene 1) is a long non-coding RNA expressed in retina and brain. It was first identified in a screen for genes upregulated by in developing retinal cells in response to taurine. The record is from Rfam. NCBI's taxonomy places the organism in Eukaryota, Metazoa, Chordata, Mammalia, Artiodactyla, Camelidae.
UGGGAUUAAGCAAAGGCACAGUGAACUCAUAGCAUCUUCUUUGGGAUUACUCAGGAACCAGAACUUUUCACACAAAUGUAAGAAAAUCUACCAAGGAAUCCCUUUACCUAACAGCAUCUCACAAAGCUCCAGUCAGAUUCCAGAAAAGGCCUCUUGAUACAUCCAGGUAGAACCUA